Mycena floridula is the source of this 73-nucleotide non-coding RNA. The record is from the annotation of a GenBank genome assembly. NCBI's taxonomy places the organism in Eukaryota, Fungi, Basidiomycota, Agaricomycetes, Agaricales, Mycenaceae.
GGCCAGGUAGCUCAGUGGUUAGAGCGUCUGCUAUAUAUGCAAGAGGUCGUUGGUUCAAUCCCAACUCUGGCUG